AAACCCGCCAAAAUUAUUAUUUUCCAUUCCUGAAUGGAAAAUGCAACCCUGUUCUUUACGCCAUAUCGCCGCGUUACUACAUUAUAGUAAAGGCGUUCCUACACCGAACAGCUGACACACAACCAAACACAUACGAAACAUACAACAAGAAGAAGAAACUCAUAAUAAAUCACAUGCAAACAAACAAUACCAAAAAAAACAAUAAAAUAUAUACAUAUAAACGUGUCCAAGUAAAUAUAAAAAAGAAUAACAAAAAAACACAGCCUUAAACAACAACCAUCACUACAGAAAACAUCAGCAACGAAAUCCACAGGCUUAACAUCUAGGACAAAACAACAAACAAAUUGAAACAUAUAAACAAAUUAACUAAUAAACAACAGAUAAAACACAAACAAACCACAGUGCCAGCAGCUCUACUUUAGGUUCAGAUCACCCGCAACAAUCUAUACAGUUUCGAAGUAUGUAUUUGAAUUCUUGCUUUCUUGUAUGCAUAUUCAAUGUGUAUGUAUAAAAACAUCCAAUUAGAUAAAGCCAAUUCAAAACGUAUACUAUAAAUUUGUUGAUGUUAGCACAUAGGUAAAAAAUAGGUUUUUAUUUUUAGAAAAAUAAUAUAAAAAUAAUUAAGCAUGGAAAUAACCUCUAUAAACAAAA
Molecule: long non-coding RNA, 651 nt
Organism: Lucilia sericata (common green bottle fly)
Lineage: Eukaryota; Metazoa; Arthropoda; Insecta; Diptera; Calliphoridae
Exons: 3
Source: RefSeq, a predicted model, not a curated record